RNAcentral lists this ribosomal RNA (233 nucleotides) under uncultured bacterium. RNAcentral's name for it is "partial 16S ribosomal RNA". It matches the Rfam family "Bacterial small subunit ribosomal RNA", at positions 15 to 236 of the family's 1533-position model. The record is from RNAcentral.
GANCAUGGCUCAGGAUGAACGCUAGCUACAGGCUUAACACAUGCAAGUCGAGGGGAAACGACAUCGAAAGCUUGCUUUUGAUGGGCGUCGACCGGCGCACGGGUGAGUAACGCGUAUCCAACCUGCCCACCACUUGGGGAUAACCUUGCGAAAGUAAGACUAAUACCCAAUGAUAUCUCUAGAAGACAUCUGAAAGAGAUUAAAGAUCUAUCGGUGAUGGAGUGGGGAUGCGU